AGCAGUGGGAGGAUAGUGAUUAUGCAUCUAGAGCAAGGCAGAAGAGUAGUGUGUUGGUAAUUACAAGUUACUAGGUAGGAAUAGAUUUAAGAUAUCCCAAUUGGUUUCUGAAAUACUACACAACUACUUUGAUAUUGCUAUGCAAGUCAACAUUCAGAUACUAGAAAGAACACUUACUUCCAACAAAGUAUGGACGGAUGAUGUCGCUGGGGAAGUUAGCAUUUAUCAUACGGUCGGGCUCUUUUAGGUGUAGCGCAAUUUUAGAGCCAACUUUCAAUGCAUAAAACUUAGAAAUUUCUGGCCGAAGUCCUAUAUCAAAAUAGGAAUGACAAUCUUCUUCAAGUUUUACACAAACAAUGAUUGUAAAUCCAUGGUUUGUGCUCAAUAUGAUAUCCCUAGAGUAAGAUUUAGCGAUACCGUUGUUUUUGCAAAGCGAGGAUCUACUGCGGGAAUUGAUCAGAUUUUGUUAAAUAAGAAGGUAACAUGCUAGUAGGGAGUAGUUAAAAGAACAGCAUAUCAGUUGAUAGAAAACGAACGGCCUAGAUAUAUAACUAUAGAAAAGACCUCAAAAGAACGGGUGUGAUUUUCUUGCAAUAAAUAGUCACAUAUUCAUGUCUACAAAUCCAGUAACGUUUCUACCUGCCAAGCAACACGAUGAGUCCACUGCAAAAAAAAAAAUGAUGAGUUGAUUUAAAAAAUAAAAACAAAGCGAUGGGUCAGAGUCCGAUUUCCAUAGGGCUCAUCCCACGCGGGCUAUGUAUCCCACGCGGGCAGCCGUAAAAUAAGAAUAAACAACAUAUACUG
RNAcentral lists this long non-coding RNA (804 nucleotides) under Hordeum vulgare. Its description in RNAcentral is "long non-coding RNA (HVUL_LNC008355)". Lineage: Eukaryota; Viridiplantae; Streptophyta; Magnoliopsida; Poales; Poaceae. The record is from RNAcentral.